GUGACCUCAAAUCAGGUAGGACUACCCGCUGAACUUAAGCAUAUCAAUAAGCGGAGGAAAAGAAACUAACAAGGAUUCCCCUAGUAACUGCGAGUGAAGCGGGAAAAGCUCAAAUUUAAAAUCUGUCAGUCUUUGGCUGUCCGAGUUGUAAUCUAGAGAAGUGUUAUCCGCGCUGGACCGUGUACAAGUCUCCUGGAAUGGAGCGUCAUAGAGGGUGAGAAUCCCGUCUUUGACACGGACUGCCAGGGCUUUGUGAUGCGCUCUCAAAGAGUCGAGUUGUUUGGGAAUGCAGCUCAAAAUGGGUGGUAAAUUCCAUCUAAAGCUAAAUAUUGGCGAGAGACCGAUAGCGAACAAGUACCGUGAGGGAAAGAUGAAAAGAACUUUGGAAAGAGAGUUAAACAGUACGUGAAAUUGCUGAAAGGGAAACGCUUGAAGUCAGUCGCGUUAGCCAGGGAUCAACCCUUGCUUUUGCUUGGUGUACUUUCUGGUUGACGGGUCAGCAUCAAUUUUGACUGUUGGAAAAAGAUUAAGGGAAUGUGGCAUCUUCGGAUGUGUUAUAGCCCUUGGUUGCAUACAAUGGUUGGGAUUGAGGAACUCAGCACGCCGCAAGGCCGGGUUU
This 619-nucleotide ribosomal RNA is filed under the name Cortinarius delibutus. RNAcentral's name for it is "eukaryotic LSU rRNA". It matches the Rfam family "Eukaryotic large subunit ribosomal RNA", at positions 1 to 618 of the family's 3401-position model. The record is from RNAcentral. Lineage: Eukaryota; Fungi; Basidiomycota; Agaricomycetes; Agaricales; Cortinariaceae.